Molecule: ribosomal RNA, 176 nt
Filed under: Pseudomonas carnis
Lineage: Bacteria; Pseudomonadati; Pseudomonadota; Gammaproteobacteria; Pseudomonadales; Pseudomonadaceae
Also listed under: 4 other names
Description: partial 23S ribosomal RNA
Rfam family: Bacterial large subunit ribosomal RNA
Source: RNAcentral
GGUCAAGUGAAGAAGCGCAUACGGUGGAUGCCUUGGCAGUCAGAGGCGAUGAAAGACGUGGUAGCCUGCGAAAAGCUUCGGGGAGUCGGCAAACAGACUUUGAUCCGGAGAUGUCUGAAUGGGGGAACCCAGCCAUCAUAAGAUGGUUAUCUUGUACUGAAUACAUAGGUGCAAGA